This 406-nucleotide ribosomal RNA is filed under the name uncultured bacterium. Its description in RNAcentral is "partial 16S ribosomal RNA". It matches the Rfam family "Bacterial small subunit ribosomal RNA", at positions 30 to 526 of the family's 1533-position model. The record is from RNAcentral.
AUUGAACGCUGGCGGCAUGCCUAACACAUGCAAGUCGAACGAGUGGCGGACGGGUGAGUAAUGUCUGGGAAACUGCCUGUUGGAGGGGGAUAACCACUGGAAACCGUAGCUCAUACCGCAUACCCUCGGUUUUGGCCAUCUGGGAUUAGCUAGUAGGUGGGGAAAAGGCUCACCUGGGCGACGAUCCCUAGCUGGUCUGAGAGGAUGACGAGCAACACUGGAACUAAGACCCGGUCCGGAGUCUUCCGGGGGGAAGCAGUGGGGAAUUUUGGACAUGGGGGGAAGGCCUGAUGCAGAAAUGCCGCGGGUAUGAAAAAGGCCUUGGGGUGGUAAAGUCCUUUAAGCGGGAAGACGUUACCCGAAGAGGAAGCACCGGCUAACUCCGUGCCAGCAGCCGCGGUAAUUC